This 434-nucleotide ribosomal RNA is filed under the name uncultured bacterium. Its description in RNAcentral is "partial 16S ribosomal RNA". It matches the Rfam family "Bacterial small subunit ribosomal RNA", at positions 29 to 507 of the family's 1533-position model. The record is from RNAcentral.
AGCGAACGCUGGCGGCAGGCCUAACACAUGCAAGUCGAACGAACCUUUCGGGGUUAGUGGCGGGCGGGGGAGUAACACGUGGGAACGUGCCUUUAGGUUCGGAAUAACGCAGGGAAACUUGUGCUAAUACCGAAUGCGCCCUUCGGGGGAAAGAUUAAUCGCCUUUAGAGCGGCCCGCGUCUGAUUAGCUAGUUGGUUGAGGUAAUGGCUCAACAAGGCGACGAUCAGUAGCUGGUCUGAGAGGAUGAUCAGCCACGUUGGGACUGAGACACGGCCCAAACUCCUACGGGAGGCAGCAGUGGGGAAUCUUGCGCAAUGGGCGAAAGCCUGACGCAGCCAUGCCGCGUGAAUGAUGAAGGUCUUAUGAUUGUAAAAUUCUUUAAGCGGGGAAGAUAAUGACGGUACCCGGAGAAGAAGCCCCGGCUAACUACGUG